This 516-nucleotide ribosomal RNA is filed under the name uncultured bacterium. Its description in RNAcentral is "bacterial SSU rRNA". It matches the Rfam family "Bacterial small subunit ribosomal RNA", at positions 29 to 518 of the family's 1533-position model. The record is from RNAcentral.
ACGAACGCUGGCGGCGUGCUUAACACAUGCAAGUCGAACGAGGCGAUGAAGCUUGCUUUGAGAACCGAGUGGCAAACGGGUGAGUAACGCGUAGACAACCUGCCGCAAAGAUGGGGACAACAGUCCGAAAGGACUGCUAAUACCGAAUGUUGUCAAGUUUCCGCAUGGGAGCUUGAUUAAAGAUGGCCUCUACUUGUAAGCUAUCGCUUUGCGAUGGGUCUGCGUCUGAUUAGCUAGUUGGUGGGGUAACGGCCUACCAAGGCGACGAUCAGUAGCCGGUCUGAGAGGAUGAACGGCCACAUUGGAACUGAGACACGGUCCAGACUCCUACGGGAGGCAGCAGUGGGGAAUCUUCCGCAAUGGGCGAAAGCCUGACGGAGCAACGCCGCGUGAGUGAAAGAAGGGUUUCGGCUCGUAAAGCUCUGUUGACGGGGACGAAUGUGCGAAAUGCGAAUAGUUUUUCGCAAUGACGGUACCCGUCGAGGAAGCCACGGCUAACUACGUGCCAGCAGCGGC